UGGUCCCAGUGCAGAACCGGUGGGCAGAAUGUACAUUCCAAGGACAUGGGUGGGGAUGAGGAGCUUCCAAUUGCCCAGGUCCAGUUCAUGGGUCAAUCAGUGGUCAUGUCCUCUCAACG
This is a non-coding RNA of Ceratotherium simum simum (southern white rhinoceros), 119 nucleotides long. The record is from RefSeq and is a predicted model, not a curated record. Lineage: Eukaryota; Metazoa; Chordata; Mammalia; Perissodactyla; Rhinocerotidae.